This is an RNA transcript of Raphanus sativus (radish), 2118 nucleotides long. It is a transcript of the gene named protein COFACTOR ASSEMBLY OF COMPLEX C SUBUNIT B CCB2, chloroplastic, with no coding region annotated. The record is from RefSeq and is a predicted model, not a curated record. The transcript is spliced from 10 exons. Lineage: Eukaryota; Viridiplantae; Streptophyta; Magnoliopsida; Brassicales; Brassicaceae.
UCUCUCUGGUCUCUCACAGCUCUCAACCAUCUGAGAGACUGAGACAGAGAGAGAGAGAGAGAAAUGAGUGUUCGAAUUUGCAACUUCCCGUCCCAUCCAAGCUUCUUGCUGCAACCCCGCUCCCAAUCCCAAACCGCCGCGAGGUCUACACGUAUCUUCGCUCGUACGGAGAAUGAGUCAUCGCGGUCCGAUCAGCAACAGCUCAAUCUCUCCGUCCUCCGCUUCACUUUCGGGAUUCCUGGUCUAGACGAAUCUUAUCUACCGAGGUGGAUCGGGUACGGAUUCGGAUCGCUUAUUCUCCUCAAUCACUUCUCAGCUUCACCUCCAAUCAGCGAAUCGCAGCUGAGAUCAGAGGCUUUAGGGUUAUCACUUGCUGCCUUCUCAACAGCUUUACCUUACUUUGGCAAGUUCCUCAAGGGUACUGAAGUGGAGAAGAGAAGCUUACCUGAAGAGGGAGAGCAGGUUUUUGUGAUAUCAUCAAGUAUUGGAGACUCUUUGAAGGAGGAUUUGGCUUGGUCAACUUAUGUUUUGUUGAGGAAUACAAGUACCGUAGCUGUGAUGAUAUCGAUUCAAGGUGAGCUUUGCGUUCGUGGGUACUGGAACUGCCCUGGUCAAAUGUCAAAGGCUCAACUACACGACUGGUUCAAGAGAAAGACUGAUGAGAUAGGCCUGGCUGAUGUUAAGGAGACUCUUUAUUUCCCUCAGUAUGCAGGUUCUGGAUUGUCGUGGGAUGUUCUUCCUGAUGGGACGCGUUCUGUUUUUGUGCAACCUCUGCUACGAAAUGUAAAUGAAUCGGAGAAAGUGGAUGGGUUUUUGAUGGUGGCUUCUACUGCUGGAUAUGCAUAUAGCGAUAAAGAUAGAGCCUGGAUUGGAGCCAUGGCUGAUAAAUUCAGAGGAUGACAUGAGCUACAAGAAUCUUGAUUGAUAAUUGUAACAUUUGACUCGUAUCUUGAUUGAUGACUGGCGGAACACUUCAGUUCCUACAGGAAUUUCUCGAGGCCAUAAACCAAAUUCUGUAAAACCAAAAAGAGAACAAGGACAAGAAGUCAUUAAAUAAAACUUCUGGAGAAGGAAGAUCCUGCAUUUCAUAGUGGAAGGAAGCCAUGAUCACAGCCUGCUGGAGAAGUAUAGAUCCUAUGGACAGAGUUGGUGCUACAAGGCAUCCCUUAUAACGCAAACCAACCAGGGAGAAGUUAGAUUAACAUGGGCCAUUUAAGGUCUAACAGUUGUUGCUCCAAGACAAGCUCGACCUCACAAAGAAAAGAAAACAACAAAACGAAUUUGCUGAGAGUAUCUCACCCUGUGCUCACCAUGGUGGCCUUGUCACAUAAUGCAGACAACGCUGAUACUGUCUCUGGCUUGAUCCUAGGUUGUUCCGUAGAAGUUACUCUGGUGGGAAACAAUAGAGAAGGAAAGGUUUGGAAAUAAUGGAACCUGAGAUAUGGAGCCUAAGACCAUUGUUAGAUCACUCACUACUGGUAUCUCUAGAGGCUCCUCCAUGUCACAUAGCUAAAGGAACAUUUAGAGUUAAAGGAGUCGAGUCAAAUAGAUAAACCAAAACCAGGUGGAAGUAAUAUGCAGAUGUGUUGUGAGUUAAGUCACCAAGCCAAUAUCUUCGCCAAGAAAAUGGUUGUCGACGGCACCAGCUAACUCCAUUCCCCUGGCUUUAGUCACAGCAACCACAGCGGCUCUUCCUAUCUCUUUUGCAGCUCCGUUUAUGAUUACCUGAUAUUGACAUUUGUAGCAUUUUGAUCUCAAGCUGCACUAUAUGGAAACUCUUGACGAUGAUGGUGAUAAUGUGUAGUUUACCUUUAUGUUGUUUUGGGAAGGUUGUGAGGCGGAGCAAGAAAAAGAAGGCCUUGAGGGUUUGAGAUGUCGUGAAUGUGAUAGCUUGAAGAAGAGGCAGUUCACCGCUGCCAUUGCUCUAACCUCUCUGAUAACUUUUUUUUUGGGCUUGUGGUUUCCUCUGCCUUUGAUGUUGAUAAGAGUUUUUGCACUUGUUGUCAGCUAUUUUAAAACGAUGUAGUUUUUGUGGCUUCUGGAUGGAUAAGGUUUUGGGUCUUACGAUAGUUCACUCUGACUCUUAAUUUAUUUUUAAUAAAAUGAAUUUAUUUUUUA